Paramuricea clavata is the source of this 387-nucleotide non-coding RNA. The record is from the annotation of a GenBank genome assembly. NCBI's taxonomy places the organism in Eukaryota, Metazoa, Cnidaria, Anthozoa, Malacalcyonacea, Plexauridae.
UUGAUGGGCUUAUACAAGGGGGCGGGGGGUUAUAUACUCGGGGGGGGGCUAAUACAUGGAUGAUCUUUUGUGUUAGUAAUAAACAAAUCAGACAUAAACAAGUCAGUCAUAAACAGGAAAAUAUACAUCCAUUAAUAACGUGCUUUGAUUAACAUAACAUAUAGUCGGCUAUAAAGACAAUGACAAUGUUUUUAAAUAUCGUUCUCUGCUAUAUUAAAAAACAAUGAAAAUGUUGAAUAACAUAGUGGGCUACUGGGCUUAUAUUCGGGGGACUUAUAUUUGGGGGGCUUAUAUUUGGGUGUGCUUAUGUUCGGGGGGGGGGGCUUAUAUUUGGAAUGAAUUGAGCAUUAGUAUAUGUGGUGGGCUUAUAUUCCGGGGGGCUUAUAU